RNAcentral lists this ribosomal RNA (254 nucleotides) under uncultured bacterium. RNAcentral describes it as "partial 16S ribosomal RNA". It matches the Rfam family "Bacterial small subunit ribosomal RNA", at positions 524 to 776 of the family's 1533-position model. The record is from RNAcentral.
UACAGAGGUCCCGAGCGUUGUUCGGAUUCAUUGGGCGUAAAGCGCGCGUAGGCGGUUUGGUAAGCCGGGUGUGAAACCUCCAAGCUCAACUUGGAGCGGCCACUCGGAACUGCCAUGACUCGAGUCAGGUAGGGGAACACGGAAUUCCAGGUGUAGCGGUGAAAUGCGUAGAGAUGUGGAGGAACACCAGUGGCGAAGGCGACUUUCUGGGCUGUAACUGACGCUGAGGCGCGAAAGCGUGGGGAGCAAACAGG